This 849-nucleotide ribosomal RNA is filed under the name Cellulosimicrobium cellulans. Its description in RNAcentral is "bacterial SSU rRNA". It matches the Rfam family "Bacterial small subunit ribosomal RNA", at positions 382 to 1243 of the family's 1533-position model. The record is from RNAcentral. Lineage: Bacteria; Bacillati; Actinomycetota; Actinomycetes; Micrococcales; Promicromonosporaceae.
CCUGAUGCAGCGACGCCGCGUGAGGGAUGAAGGCCUUCGGGUUGUAAACCUCUUUCAGCAGGGAAGAAGCGCAAGUGACGGUACCUGCAGAAGAAGCGCCGGCUAACUACGUGCCAGCAGCCGCGGUAAUACGUAGGGCGCAAGCGUUGUCCGGAAUUAUUGGGCGUAAAGAGCUCGUAGGCGGUUUGUCGCGUCUGGUGUGAAAACUCGAGGCUCAACCUCGAGCUUGCAUCGGGUACGGGCAGACUAGAGUGCGGUAGGGGAGACUGGAAUUCCUGGUGUAGCGGUGGAAUGCGCAGAUAUCAGGAGGAACACCGAUGGCGAAGGCAGGUCUCUGGGCCGCAACUGACGCUGAGGAGCGAAAGCAUGGGGAGCGAACAGGAUUAGAUACCCUGGUAGUCCAUGCCGUAAACGUUGGGCACUAGGUGUGGGGCUCAUUCCACGAGUUCCGUGCCGCAGCAAACGCAUUAAGUGCCCCGCCUGGGGAGUACGGCCGCAAGGCUAAAACUCAAAGGAAUUGACGGGGGCCCGCACAAGCGGCGGAGCAUGCGGAUUAAUUCGAUGCAACGCGAAGAACCUUACCAAGGCUUGACAUGCACGAGAAGCCACCAGAGAUGGUGGUCUCUUUGGACACUCGUGCACAGGUGGUGCAUGGUUGUCGUCAGCUCGUGUCGUGAGAUGUUGGGUUAAGUCCCGCAACGAGCGCAACCCUCGUCCCAUGUUGCCAGCGGGUUAUGCCGGGGACUCAUGGGAGACUGCCGGGGUCAACUCGGAGGAAGGUGGGGAUGACGUCAAAUCAUCAUGCCCCUUAUGUCUUGGCUUCACGCAUGCUACAAUGGCCGGUACAAA